UACCUAGCGGCAAUAGCGCGGUGGUCCCACCUGACCCCAUGCCGAACUCAGAAGUGAAACGCCGUAGCGCCGAUGGUAGUGUGGGGUCUCCCCAUGUGAGAGUAGGGAACUGCUAGGUUU
Molecule: ribosomal RNA, 120 nt
Filed under: Providencia rustigianii
Lineage: Bacteria; Pseudomonadati; Pseudomonadota; Gammaproteobacteria; Enterobacterales; Morganellaceae
Also listed under: 1 other name
Source: RNAcentral